Long non-coding RNA from Nothoprocta perdicaria, 330 nucleotides. RefSeq lists it as uncharacterized. The transcript has 4 exons. The record is from RefSeq and is a predicted model, not a curated record. NCBI's taxonomy places the organism in Eukaryota, Metazoa, Chordata, Aves, Tinamiformes, Tinamidae.
UGGGUUCCUUCCCUGGCCUCCUUCUGAUGAGAGGCCCCCACAUGUCAGCUAGGACAGUCCAGCAGGCUGGAUGCGAGAUUCCUUUGGAGUAAUCAAAAAGGCUCCCAGCCUCUGAGCAUCUAAAUCACUAUAUUCUGCUAAAGAAACUCUUCCGUUUUCAUGGCAGGCUUAAUUGAACGAUGAUACUUGAGUUUCCUUUUGAACCUGAAGUCAGCAGCAGUUUACAGGAAGGAGGUAGAAGUUGAGAUGGUUCUUCUCACUUAAGUGUUUGCUGUUCGAUACCAACAAACAACGUUCCACCAGAAACUAACCCCGGCACCACCUUUAUUU